Musa acuminata AAA Group (dessert banana) is the source of this 1036-nucleotide RNA transcript. RefSeq lists it as uncharacterized. The transcript is spliced from 4 exons. Lineage: Eukaryota; Viridiplantae; Streptophyta; Magnoliopsida; Zingiberales; Musaceae. The record is from RefSeq and is a predicted model, not a curated record.
UGCUUCUCAAAAUCUCAGUUUCCAUGAGGACCAGAUUAGAAAACUUCAGCUAAAUCGAAGUUAAUGCUUUAAGGCAGUAUUAUUGGUAUUAUUGAAAAUAUUAGGGACUAUAGUAAUAUAAUUCUACAGAAUAUAAGAAAGAGAUGAAAAUAAAUAUACUUACAGGGGCUUAGAUAGAAAAAUGACCUUCCUUUACUUUGAUCGAAGCGGUCGCCUGUGGCGAAGAGGAUCCACCGUCUCGCCAUGGACUACAGCCUCGCGGCGUUGAAGCUCUUCUGCGGCGAACUCAAGGAUGUUUGCGCCGCAUCCGCCUCCGCCUCUUCCUCUGCCGCCACCCUAUUCGGCAUCCUCUUCCAGCGCGCCUGGCUGCAGGGUGUUUUGGUGUCGGGCACCGAUGAGGGGCGCUUCCUUCUCGAUGACGGCUCCGACGUCGUCGAGCUCCUCCUCUCCGCCGAAUCCCAGCCCCAGCAGUGGAAGAUUGGGAUGUACGUGAUGGUCGUCGGGCCGUACGUCGCCGCUCAAUCCGGUGGCCUUUCCACGAUCAGGGUACCUUCUCUUGCUCGAACUCCAUACUAGGUUACCCAGGCAGAGAAUCUUGGAUAGGGUUUUAUGAAGUAUAUUGGGGAUUGAGGAAAAAAAGGUUCAUAAGAUGGUGGAUCUCUCGCAACAUCCUGAUCGGGAAGCAAUGUGGCAUUUGGAAGUCAUGGAAGCUCAUAAGUUGUUCUACCUCCCAUCACCCCAGUAACAGUUCUCUUCCUCGUACGCACAUCAUGGUCCGGCAAUGAACAGAGAAAUUGUUUGCGGAUCAUUUAAAGCUGUCGUUCUGCGACAAUUUGCUGCAUGUCCAAGAAUCUCAGAGGAUUUCAUGUUCUUCAACUAUGGCUUGUGAAAAACAUUUUGUCAAAGUGUUUUCUAAAUAUUUGAUCUUUUUGUCUAUCUGGUUUAGUAUUAGGUUUAGUAUUAGGUCUUUUUGUCAAAGUGUUCUCUAAAUAUUAAAUUGGAUCAAUUUGAGUGCUCUCUAAAUAUUCAAGUGUUA